AUGGGCCGCUCCAAUUAGAUCACAUUCUUUAAGAUCCAAGUCUAGAUCAGAGUCUAGUUCUAGAUCAAGAUCACAUUCCAGAAAGAAGAGAUACAGUUCUAGGUCUCAAUCCAGAACAUAUUCAAGGUCUCAUAGUAGAGAUCAUAUUUAUUCUAGAGAUUAUCGUUAAGAUUACAGAAUUAAGAUUACAAAAAUAAUAGAGGAAUGAGACGACCUUAUGGGUACAGAGGAAGGGGUAAGGGUAUUAUCAAGGAGGAAGAGGGAGAUACCAUCGAGGUGGCUAUAGACCUGUCUAGAAUAGAAGGCACUCUAGGAGUCCUUGACGAGGUCAGUCACGGUCCAGGAGUCCAAAAAGAAGACCCAUGUCUUCUCAAAGAUCCCGAAGCAGAUCUCGCCGGUCAUAUAGAUCUUCUAGGUCUCCAAGAUCAUCAUCAUCUCACUCUUCAUCCCCAUACAGCAAAUCUCCUGUCUCUAAAAGACGAGGGUCUCAGGAAAAACAAACCAAAAAAGCUGAGGGGGAACCCCAAGAAGAGAGUCCUUUGAAAAGCAAAUCACAGGAGGAACCAAAGGAUACUUUUGAACAUGAUCCAUCUGAAUCUAUUGAUGAGUUUAAUAAAUCUGCUACUUCUGGUGAA
Molecule: long non-coding RNA, 635 nt
Filed under: Mus musculus (house mouse)
Lineage: Eukaryota; Metazoa; Chordata; Mammalia; Rodentia; Muridae
Description: long non-coding RNA chr5:21689540-21690175
Source: RNAcentral